GUCUGCUGAAGACGAGCCUGGUGCUCGCGCGGGGCCGCGCCUGUUUCAUCAUCGGCUUCCGCCGCCCGCGCGGUCUCUUUCGCUCGCUCCCGCCCGGCUCUGCCUUGGCCAGAUUGCUCGAGUCGCUCGCAAGAGAUAUUGGACGGGGGCGGGCGGGCGGGGGGAGGAUAAGGUUAUUCCUUUGCUGCUUGCUUCAAGAGCCUCCUCCCCUUAAGAUGGCCUUCAAAAACUUUAUUUAUUAUGAUUAUUAUUUUCAAAACACGGCCAAAAAGGACCGCUGCUUCCCUUCCCCUUUUCUGUAUUUUUAACUCCUCUUCCAAGAUUUGGAAUAUUUUUUCAUCUCCUUUACUGCACUUUGCUUUGAGGUUUAAAUACUUCCCCAACCCCUGCUGUUUUCUCUAGUUAUCUGGGGGUUAUUUCUUUUGACCAACCCAUCAGGAUUUGCGUAGUUUGCAAGCUAGGAAAAGGUGAUAUUUUAAAAAUGUUUUUCCUUUUCUGAAUAGAACGCUGGUGCAUUUCUCCUUCCUCCCCCCUUUUUUUCUUUUGGAUUGUUUGGAAUGUAUAAGAUAAACUCCUGUGUGGGGAAGGCUUUGUAGCCAUUCACCUGCACCCCUUUGAAAAGUUAGCCUGAUACAAGUGGAAAUAUUUACAUGUUUUGGUUGCCCCAUGCAUCCUGGCAUUUUCUUCUGCUUCUCAUCCUCCACCCUAAUGGAAACACGGGGCCGGUGCACUAAAAAUGCUACCUCCGGGACAGGUGCCAACUUCAAGGUAAAAGGCAGUAAAAUAGGUGAUAGAAGGAUGGGGGGGCAGACUGAAUCAGGAAUUUUAAAGUCUAUCUGAAAUUAUGAUUUAAUUUUGCCAUCCAAAAUGAGCGAAGGGAAAAGUUGAAAAGAUACUUUUUCUGCAUGCAUUCAAAAGGGGUGAAGAGACUCUUUCUUUCUUUCUUUCUUUCUUUCUUUCUUUCUUUCUUUCUUUCUUUCUUUCUUUCUUUCUUUCUUUCUUUCUUUCCUUGCCUACUGAAUUAUUCAAACUGUCAGUGGUGAAUCCUGGGACAUUAGCAUGCAUCAGGCAUGCUGUUUGUCUGUUUGCUAACAUUCUUCAUUCAAGACUUGUUAACUGCCAGACAAGCUUAACACGCUCCUCUCCUCCUCUCCCCCCUCUCCUUUCUCAUUCUACCUCCCUCCUUCACAGUGUCUUUCCUUCUCUCUCAUGCCACCCUCUCUGCCUCUUCUAUUGUUGUUGCUGGGAGCUGGCAGCUAGGGGGGCAGCGGUGGCAGGGUAAAGCAUGUGGCUGCGAGGCUGGAGCCCUGUGGUUGCUAGGGAAGGACCGCCUUCCCAGAUUUGCCAGGCCUGUAUGCACUUGCAAAAUCAAGAAAUGCCACAGAGAUCGCGGAGUGUCUUCCAUCUGCUUUCACAGGAGACCGCAGAACUGCAAGGUGAACACCCUCUUGUCCUCUCUCUGCUUCUUGUCCUUGUGGCUGGAUUCCUACUCUUCCCCCGCACCCUCAAGAUAUGUCGGCUCCAUUCACUUCCACUCACCGUUCCAAGUUUCUUGCAGCAAGGCCAAUCUACAUUUGUUAGAUUACCUGCAUGGUACUAGGAAGGGCUCCAACCUUGGGAAGAGGAGACAGCUUUCAUCUUCUCUAAACUGGACUUCCAUGGUGCUUACCAGAAGGAAGAGGGAUGCCUGCUAUGCUGAGCACUUGUGUGGACUCAUUACUAUCCACUCCAGCAUUUGAACCCUGCUGGUCAUAUCUCUGGGGCACUUGUGCUACUUUCAUACAAAUUGCAACAAAACAAUAGGAGAAAUGGCAUCAAUCCUUUUUUCAUCACUCCAAAACGGAAAAGGCUGCUCUCACAAGAAAACCACUGCAACCAUCCUUUUGAAAUACAGCAGGAUUCAUUACCUCAGGAAGGGUUUCUUAUCCAUCCCAAAAAUUGGCUCGGUGCUGCUUUCAGAACUCAGACCAUCUGGUAGCCAUCACUGCCUCCUGUUGAGAUCAUGGAAACUACCCCCACUGCCUCCGUCAGCUGCACAUGUCACAUUUCAGCACCAUGCGGUGGUGGGCAUAAAGCCCAUUGGCACUAACACAGCAGAGCAACGGAGGGGCACAGGCUGAACUAAGAAGAAGGACAGUCACUCACCUGGUGCCAGCUUACUUGGAGGAGUUUGUCAAGACGCAUUUGGACAGGAUACCUACCACAGGAUGGGUCCCCACUCCAGGUUGUUGUUGAUGAUGUUCAGGCAAAUACCAUUACCCUUGAUCCCUUCUAAAAUUAACCAAGAUGACGCUAGACUUACUUUUGCAUAUUACAGUGACUGUAAGAGGUUUUAACUUUGGCACUAUAACUCAGAUGAGAUGCAUGCAUGUAUGUAUUUAAUAUCCCUGGUACAAGAAAUUUAAAUAGCAGCCAUGGGAGGGCUGGGGAGGGAGGAUUCACACACACAGAGACACACACACACACACACACACACACACACACACACACCAGUGCUGCUGCUGCCCCCCCCCGGCAGGCUGGAAGCUGCCAUAGCUGCCAUUGGCUGGUGAUUUUUUAAAAAAAUGAAAGGUUGACAGCCCUGUUUAUGGCCAUAUAAUUAUAAAUUUUUAUUAAGCUUCUGCUCCUGGCAGCUGUUAACCAUUGGGGUUGUAUAUCUCUCCUACCUCAAAACUGUCAUUUUUCCUAUUACAUAACAAAAAUAGCUGGCUUGGUGCCUUUUGAGGAGAGACUGUUGAGGGUGUUUAUUACCACUAGUGCCCCCCUCCCAAAGUGCAAGGGCGUUGUUCACUCAGCCCUGAAACUGCUGGGAAUGGAGGUGGGGGAAGAGUAUCAGCUUUCCUACUGUGGAAUAGAUCUGUGGUGGACUCCGCACGCGCCGUUUUGGUUUAUUAAGCAACAUUUUAACCAGUUAAAAUAAAUUUACAAGCACUUAUAAAAAACCAAAAGUAAUUGGUUUUCACCCUUGAGCAAAAAGAUUUCAUAACAGGCACAUUAAGCAUUAAUGUAACCAAACCUUUUUAUUGUUGACAACCACAAGGACAGUCAUGUGUAAGACUAACAGUUUGUAGUUAAUAUUUAUGGUGGAGCUUAUGACUCACCUGUGGAGUAAUUAAGUGCUGCUCUUAAAGACUAAGGUUUGGGGGUUUUUACCAAAAGAAAAGAAAAGAAAAGAAAAAAGCCUUUUCUGCAUACCCAUGUGAAUCUCCUGCAACUUUAGUAAAUUCUUGCUUUAAACACUGAUCUUUCUAAACAGUGUACAUUAUUCUGCUGAAUGGAUAGCAGACAUGUUAAUUAUUGUUGAGUUUAUUCUUCUAAAGGCUGUUGUACGUCUAGGUCAGUCUAGGUAAUACCAGUACAUCAAAACAGCACAUUAAACCCCAAAUUAUCAGAUCAGCUGAGGUCAGCAGGUGAGACAUACACACACACCUGUGAGUGAUAGUACACAUUAUCAAAAAAUGUGAGAGUGGCAACCCCAUGCCAAGACCCAUAUAUCAAACAAUAACAUGUUAACUGACUGUGUGUCCUUGAGACUUUCCGUUUCCUAACCCUACAUCAUUGGCGCCUGCCGGCAGUGGCAGUGAAAUGCUCCGCAUAAAGUUUCUCAGGAUACUAGUAAAUCAUAUUUCAUGAUUUCAUAUUGGGGAAGCCCGUACACUGUCUUGCAAUGUUGUUGGACGCUUUCUACCACCCUGUCCGUGGGCCGGAUGGGAGUUUGACUCCAACAACGUCUGGAGGGCAUCAUAUUGCCUGUCCCAGUGUUUCUAAGCACUGAGAUGGAAUUUGGCAGAGGACUGUUUUUUUUUAAUCUAGUCCAGAGUUUCUGAUAACAUGUAAUUCUGCCUUGCAUAAUGCCACACAAAUGGUUCUCCAUGUUUUCACAGGGUUUGGUUCUUGCAGAUUAGGUCAGGCUGGUGUGUUCUUUAUAGGGAGUCAGGGUGGUGUAGUGGUUAGAGAGUUGAACUAGGACUGGGAAGGCCAAAAGUAUCAAAGCACCAUUUGGCCAUGAAGCUCACUAGGUGACUUUGGGCCACUAGAUGCCAAAACGGGAAGAUAGAGGUAGACAAAAUGGAGCCUUUCAUGUAUGCAUUACUUUUGGCCUGGUAUGGUUCUGGCAUCUCUUUCCGAGGCUGAACAUAAUCUUUAAAGCUUGCUUCUAUAUGAAUUAAUAAAAUAAAUUCAGGGUGACCUGUGUGGGAUGCCAUCUCAGAUGGGGCAUCACAGUGUUCAGAAAAUUAUCAGGCCCCCUGGCUGAUAUAUUAUUAAGAAUGGGCUUUGUGCAGCCUCCAGGAGGUGAACAAUACCCACUGACCAAGCCUGCCCAGGAAUGAAUAAAAGCCUGGCGGUGGUGCCUGGGCAGACCCCAACAGCUCCAUGCCCUGUGCAUAGAAUGCAGGAUAUUAACCAGUGUUAAUCAUACAUGCAUACUUUAAGUUAAAUGUCAGGUUAUAAACGAUAAAGAUGGACUUACUGGAUUGCUAACAACAAUAAAAGCUAAAGUAUGAUUGGUAUAAAUGUGGAAUUUGUAAAAUAUUCCUAAAAGGUUGUAUUGUGUCUAAACUAGUAAUGCACUGAUUAGCAACACCAUUAAUUUUUCCCCCCUCUAGAGAUCUUUUUUGUCUUGCAGGUUACCUUACUAUGAUUCAACUCAGGGAUUGGUUGGACCUCAUCUGCAUCAGAGUGAGACUGCCCUUUGGGGUGAGGUAGUAGGUUGUAUAGUUUUAGGGUUAUACCCUGCCUGUCAGAUAACUAUACAAUCUACUGUCUUUCCUGAAGUGGCUGUGAUAGCAGCACAGGAAUGUUCCAUCACCGUAUCAGGAAACAACAUCUGUUACUGAUGCAUACCGAAUGUAUGCUUAGGGACAGGAGAGCGGAACCUUAAAGUAUUUGAAGCAGCCCAUCCAUUGACGUCGUUGAGCCAAGGACAUGAUUCAAAGGCCUAACACACCAACCAAAUAAUGUCCUCUUACUGAGUUCUGCUGUUAUAAGGGUGGCCUCUGUGUCUAAGUGUACACAUUUUGGCUAACCAAACAGUAUGGUCUUCUUUAAAAUGUUUUGCAAAAAAAUAACUCUUGUGGAAACUUUAGUACAGUAGUUCCAUAGGAAGUUUGCACAGAUCGCAAGAUCCUCCAAAUGUGAAUUUCAUCCCUAUUUGGCCACUAAAGGUUUCCAGUUGAGACAAGAAUAGACCCAUUUGGCAGGUGGCAGUGAAGAAGAGGAGAGGGCCCAUUUGGUUAUGAUCAGAUGGUGGUACAAUGUGGCAGCAGAGGUAAAGUAUGGACCAAGGCCACAUGGCAGGAAAAUCCUACACAAUAGACCUGGAGUGGUGACUCAUGAGUGGAAGCAGAAGGCAUUGCAAGGCUGCUGCUAAUACUGAGGAGGGACUAGGAGGUGGGGAAAGGGCUGGUGGACAUAGGAAGGAGAGGCUAGUGGAAUGAGCACCAUCCUCUCUUUGGCUCUGUUGGAUUCCUUGAACAGCAACCUUGCCUUUCACUCCAAAUACCCUUAUGCAUCACCACAUGGCAAGACUCUCUCUCUUAAUUGUAGAAGCAAAAGCCAAGAAGUAGCUAUGUUCUGUCAACGCCACCCAGUGCUCUGGCAGGGUGAGGUAGUAGGUUGUGUGGUUUCAGGGUAGUGAUUUUGCCCCAAUCAGGAGAUAACUAUACAACCUACUGCCUUCCCUGAGGAGCACCUUUGCAGCUUGCCCAGAAAACCCAUUUCACUUUCAAGUCAACAAUCUAUGCAACAGUCCUCCCAAAGUAUCUUGAGAACUGUAUGAUUAUGCAAGGAAUUCUGUGUUGUCGAACCCCUACCCUCACUUAAAAAUGCAGUUCCCAAGGACAAUAUGACUUUUAAGCCAGUUUCAAUCUAUGAAAUGGGGUAGUAUAAAUUAGAGUAGAUGUUAUGGUCAUCACCAGAGUAAACCCACCGUAUAUGUGAAAAUAGUAUUAUUUAGGAUUUUAACUUUAGAGUUUAUAUAAUUUUAUGCCUGUCAUUUAAUUCAUAUUUUAGAAAAAGAUCUGAUUUAUCUCAUAAGUUCAAUAAAAUGUUUUGGGCUUUAAAAAAA
Zootoca vivipara (common lizard) is the source of this 6067-nucleotide non-coding RNA. Lineage: Eukaryota; Metazoa; Chordata; Lepidosauria; Squamata; Lacertidae. The record is from RefSeq and is a predicted model, not a curated record.